CCAAUAGCGUAUAUUAAAGUUGUUGCAGUUAAAAAGCUCGUAGUUGAAUUUCGGGGUUCAUCCGUUGGUCGGGCUUUUUGGUCUGUACUGGCGUGAUGGAUUCCUACCUUCUGAAUAACCAGCAUGUCAUUAAUUUGGUGCGCUGGGGAAGCAGGACUGUUACCUUGAAAAAAUUAGAGUGCUUAAAGCAGGCUAUCGCCUGAAUACAUUAGCAUGGAAUAAUGAAAUAGGACGGCAUGGUUCUAUUUUGUUGGUUUCUAGGAUCACCGUAAUGAUUAAUAGGGAUAGUUGGUGGCAUUAGUAUUCAAUUGUCAGAGGUGAAAUUCUUGGAUUUAUUGAAGACUAACUUCUGCGAAAGCAUUUGCCAAGUAUGUUUUCAUUAAUCAAGAACGAAAGUUAGGGGAUCGAAGACGAGCAGAUACCGUCGUAGUCUUAACCAUAAACUAUGCCGACUAGGGAUCGGACGAUGUUAAUUUUUUAAUGACUCGUUCGGCGCCUUACG
RNAcentral lists this ribosomal RNA (502 nucleotides) under uncultured Glomeromycotina. RNAcentral describes it as "partial small subunit ribosomal RNA". It matches the Rfam family "Eukaryotic small subunit ribosomal RNA", at positions 591 to 1092 of the family's 1831-position model. The record is from RNAcentral. Lineage: Eukaryota; Fungi; Glomeromycota.